This 72-nucleotide transfer RNA is filed under the name Camelus bactrianus (Bactrian camel). It matches the Rfam family "tRNA". From Rfam's summary of the family: Transfer RNA (tRNA) molecules are approximately 80 nucleotides in length. Their secondary structure includes four short double-helical elements and three loops (D, anti-codon, and T loops). RNAcentral also lists the same sequence under 1 other name. The record is from Rfam by way of RNAcentral. Lineage: Eukaryota; Metazoa; Chordata; Mammalia; Artiodactyla; Camelidae.
GAGGGUAUAGCUCAGUGGUAGAGUGCGUGCUUAGCGUGCACGAGGUCCUGGGUUCAGUCCCCAGUACCUCUG